GCAAGUCGAACGGCAGCGGGGGAAAGCUUGCUUUCCUGCCGGCGAGUGGCGGACGGGUGAGUAAAGCGUAGGAAUCUGCCUGGUAGUGGGGGAUAACCUGGGGAAACCCAGGCUAAUACCGCAUAAGCUUUGCGAAGGAAAGCGGGCCUCUGAAGAUGCUCGCGCUACCAGAUGAGCCUACGUCGGAUUAGCUAGUUGGUGAGGUAAAGGCUCACCAAGGCGACGAUCCGUAGCUGGUCUGAGAGGAUGAUC
RNAcentral lists this ribosomal RNA (252 nucleotides) under uncultured bacterium. RNAcentral describes it as "partial 16S ribosomal RNA". It matches the Rfam family "Bacterial small subunit ribosomal RNA", at positions 57 to 305 of the family's 1533-position model. The record is from RNAcentral.